GGAGGGGUCCCGAUGCCCCGGUGAGGAGCUGCGAGCGGCUGGAGAUUGUUGGCGGUCGGCGAGGCAGAGGGAGGCCUAAGAAGCAUUGAGGAAAGGUGAUUAGGCAGGACAUGACUAGUAUGCAGGUUUCCGAGGAUAUGAUCGUUGAUAGGAGAGUCUGGAGGUCUAGGAUCAGGGUUGUAGGUUAGAGGCUCCUAAAGUUCUUCGUAGUUACUGUAUGAUAUUAUUGCAUGCGAUUGUAUUCAGGUUCCUUAUGUUUAGAUAAUUAUUUCCGUUAUUUCUGCUAUUUCUGCGGGUGAUACUAAUGCUCUAUUGUUAUUGUUUUUGUUUUGUUUUUGUUUUACAGCUGAUUUC
This 354-nucleotide long non-coding RNA is filed under the name Nicotiana benthamiana. Its description in RNAcentral is "long non-coding RNA (NBEN_LNC032166)". Lineage: Eukaryota; Viridiplantae; Streptophyta; Magnoliopsida; Solanales; Solanaceae. The record is from RNAcentral.